UUGGCUAUUUUCAAUUUAUUUUAGUUUUUAAUCUCUCUGAUAGAUAGUAUUCUACUAUAUAUGUGAAUACUCAUAUACAAAUAAAUUGGUCAUUACUAGGGUUUUUCAUAACGAACUCAUCUUGCUGCGGAGUUGGGUCACAUAAUGCUUAUGGUUGCGGUUUACCUAACGUGCACUCGAAGCUAUGCGAGUACCAACGAUCAUACCUAUUCUUCGACGGACGUCACAACACCGAGAAGGCGCAAGAAAUGUUUGGUCAUCUUCUUUUUGGAGCCGAUCCUAAUGUGAUCCAACCAAUGAACGUCCGUGAGCUCGUGGUUUACCCAGUCGAUGAACCUAUGCGUGAAGUUUGGGUGCCUACAACGUCAGCCACCGUCCAAGCCAGUGACUCUAGCUCGUCAUCAAGCCGCGGUUACGAGUUCUACUGAGUCCUAAAAAUCAAUCUUAAAUUUCGGGAUCAAUCUGGUUAUAACAAAAUCCGGAAUCUUAAUGUUUUUUGUUUGCAAUUAUUUUCUCUUCGUCUCUCUAGUGAGUUUCUCUCUAUAAUAAAAGAUUGAUCUUUGCAACCGUAUUGGGCUGAUUCGGGAUUCAUUAAUCUAUCCAUCAUGUACUCAAACAGUAAACGAAGACACAUGGAAGCCAGUUAUGUACGUAUUAAAAUAACGAAUUAACACUUAUAGUAAGAGAGAGAGAGAAUCAAUGAAAUUUUUUAUUAACACUCUUCCAUUUUAUUAUUUUAUUCAAUACGAUUAAUCGGCCUAAAAUUAUUGAUAAAAAUACAUAACGAUGCUUUUGUGACUUGAGUUAUAGUAUCAAGCUGAUUUUUAAGUAGAAAACGAAUACUUGACCAAAAAAAAAAAAAACGAAUACAAUAUUAUCUUUUGUCAGUAGGAAGAAUAAUAAAAUAUAGAAUUUAAUUAAUCAGACAAUAAAUAGAGUGUGCAAUACAAUAUUAUCUUUUGUCAGUAGGAAGGAUAAUAAAAUAGACUAGUAUUUUAGUCAGUAAAUAAAUAAAUAUUAAUAGAGUAUGAUGCAAUAUGAUCUGGUUUGGCGGAUCAUGACCGACAGAGACGAGAUUUAAAAACCAAGACAAAACUGGGAGUCAUUAUUUAAAUAUUAAGAUGUGAUCCACAGUGGCUUAACUUUGACUACUAGUAUACUUUAAACAACUCCCGCGUCCCGAGGUGGGAAGAUGGAGACAUAGGUGUUGAUUGGUUUAUCUGUUAUCAUCCGCAAACGCAGCGUUUGUGAUUACUAGUGAUUAGUGAUGUUUUAUCACAAUCAUAUGAAUCGCUGCAAACUGUUCCGUAUCGUUUUAUAGCGCUGAAAUCUAAAAGCUGCUUCCCGCCAGCGUUUGCGGUUGCGGACGGUAACAGUUAGAUAAAAAAAAUAAAAAAUAAACAAAUAUCAGUUGAAAAAAAUUACGAUACAAGCAUAAGUGUCAUAAUACUUUAGUUUAAUUUAUUUAUAUUAAUUGUUCUUCCACUUUUAAAUUUAAAGUAAAAAAUUAUAAAUAUGUAUCUUAUUAAUUACAAAAUUAGUUUGUUAUAAUUCUUUUUUUUUGUUCUUCAGAAAGUUACAUAAUCAAACGAGAUGACAUGUGCGUUACUCAACCGAUCAUUGUGGAAAAUUAAAGUCAAGAUAAAUAUCCUAGAUUUUUUAGUGCACUCCAGAAAGAACGUAUUUUGAAGAAUACUAAUGAGCAAUUUGGAGUUGAUUUGAGCUGGGAUUGUGUAAAAAAUUGAUUAGAUCAAUUGAAAAAAUUUUACAUCAAUCAUAAGACAAAUCCAGAAGAUCCACGUAUUAGAGCAAAUUUUUUCCAGUCUAUUACAUUACUAGACACAACUUUGGAUGAUGUUCCCAAUAAUUAAAAUAAAACAUAUUAUUAUAAAUUUUCUUAAUUUUUAAAAUAAUUAUUUAGUAUUUAUUUAUAAUUUAUUAAUUAUUUUAAACUAUUGAUUUUGAUAUUAAUCAUAAUAAUAUAGUUUUCUGUUUUUUUUAUAAUCAUAUAUGAUAUUUGUUUUGCUAAUUUUAUGUUUAACCGCUAAAACAAUCACUGGUUUGACAGUCAAAAUUGUUCCGCAAACGGAUCCGCCUUAAAAAAUUUAACCAGUCGUGCAAACCGCUGAAUAACGCUCAAAACCGCAAUCCUCCGCUUCCGCAAACUCCCGCACUUACAACCACAACCACAACCGCUGCGUUUAAACUAGUCAAGCCCAUACAAGUAUACUUUAAAAUCUCAUUAAUUGAAGCAACAACCGAUCUUGACUCUAUCCUCUACGUUCAAGUUGAUAAUAUAGUUACCAAUUGGAUAAUAUUCUAGUAGUAUAAAAAAAGAUUUGGAUUGUAUCACGUAUAUAGAUCCGCCCGCAUAUAAUGAUCCAUGCAUGCAUGGAAUCAUUUUUCUUUUCGUCGGACUUGCAUAAUUUGACAUAACAGCUUAUACAACAUUUGACAAUGAUAUCGUUGUCGUGAGCAAGCUCCGUUCCGUUGCUUACCUGUGACUAACCUGCCGGUGCAAAGAAGGUGAACGCAGAGAAACCCAAAUAUAUAUGUUCCUUGUGGGCAAGUAAUUUAAUUGUAACUCAAAUUUUAUCUAAAACAUUUAUUUUUACCAUAUGUUUUUUUUUUCUUUGAACAUUUUCAUAGUUUUACCAUAUGUUUUUUGCUAACUGCAUUCAUUAAUCAAUAUACUUGCACUUGUGUCUAACCAUAAGAGACAAUCAAUAUUUCCUUUGUACAUUUUGACAUUCAUGUUAAUGAGCUCAAAUUCAUCGUUUGCUCCCUAUGUUGAUCUAUGCCACAGUUCUUGCUCUUUCAGUCUUCAUGUGAACGGUGUCUUCUAAUACAACUAUACUAGGUCAAUAAUCUGUUUAAUUGCGUGCAAACCUUACUUUUAAUUCAUUUAAAAUUUUGCAGUUAAAAUUGUACGUAAGGGGAGUUAUCAAAUCUCCUAGGUUAAUACAAUAUAAACAUGAAAACAUUAGAAGAGCAGGCUGAAAAUCAGCAAAAUUAAGUGGAAGCGAAUCUCAGAAGCUACCCGAAUUAAUACGUCAUCAUAACGACAUAACGUUCACGGCAAAGCCGGAAGAAAGUAACUUGGUCAAUAAUCUGUUUACUCUUCACUUUUUAGUUGUAUUAGUAGUAGUUAUUUUAAAUUAUCAAAAUAUAAAUAAUCGGUUAAUUUACUCUUCACUACUAGUUGUGCAUACGUAGUUGUAUUAGUAGUACUUGUAUUAGAAAACUAAACUCGCGCGACACGUUGUUGUUUAAUAGUAAUUAUUAUUGUAAAUUACCAAAAGCUAUAUUUGCAAUAUAUAUAAAAUAAUCGGUGUAUGAAGUUUAGUCACAAAAACCAUCUUCAUCUCUCUCUUUUAGUCUCUCUUCCCGAUGGCGAGCAACUGUAAUUUAGCGAGUGUCCUAGGGGUAUUUUUGAUAGUUACACUGUUCCACAAUCCGAUCACUGUCGCCGGACAAAAAAAGUCCGGUGCAGCCUUGUUCACGUUCGGUGACUCCAACUUUGACGCCGGAAACAAACAGACUCUCACGCAAGCUAACGUUCCACAAGGUUUCUGGCCGUACGGAAAAUCCAGAGAUGAUCCCAACGGCAAAUUCUCCGACGGUCUCAUCGCUCCAGACUUUCUCGGUACGAUUUUCUUUUUAUUAUUAAUCGGAGGAUCUUAAACCAUAAUUUAUGCUAGUCUUCGAAACCUGUAAAAACGAAUAGGUGUACCAGUUAAAACGUUUAUAAUUAUUAAUCACAAGUGUAGCCACUAGUUAAUUUUUUUUUGGGGCAACGUCAUUAGUUGAUUAUCUUAUCAAAUUUUGUUAAUUUUUACAUUUGUACAACUCAAAACCGACAUGUUAUUUUAUUAUACUUCCUCUGUUUCAUAAUAAUUGUACAUCUAUUAUUUUUUUAUUUAUGUUACUUUUUACACACAAAUUAAUAAAACAUAUUAAAAAUUUAAUAAUAUCCUUAAAAUAUAUGAGACUUUUGAAAUUCUUUAUUAGAUCUAAGGUUAAAUUAAGUAUUUUGUAUUAAAAUUUGUUUUGAAAAUAUAAAACGAUCGACACUCAUAAUGAAAAAAAUUUUCUUAACGAUAUUUAUUAUAAAACGAAAGGAAAAUAUAUUAAUUUAUUUUCUAAUUCAAGAUUAAUGAAACUCUAAACGUAAAAAAAAAGCAGAAUUUUUAUACUGUACAUGAUAUUUGAUAUAUACAUUUUGUAAAUAAAUGUAUAUGCUCUUUUUUUUUUAAUCAUACAAAUACAAUAUAUAACAUAAAACAGUAAUAUAUACCGUAUAUCUGAAAUGUGAAAAUUUUUCUUCCUUGAAAUGUGAAUUUUUUUAAAUAAUAUUAUAAUGCAGCAAGAUUCAUGGGAAUCCCGAACGAGAUCCCGCCGGCACUUAAACCAAACGUCAAUAUCUCACAUGGAGCUAGUUUCGCCGUCGCCGAUGCUACCCUUCUCGGGGCUCCGGUGGAAUCUGUAAGUCCACUUUAUUUCUUUUAUAUAUGAUAUAUCUAUAUAUUUUUCAACAUUCAAUUGAAAUCAUAAUAUUUCUUUUAUAUAUUACAUAAAGACAUCUAACUUCAAAUCAAUAAGCCUUACUUUUAUAGUCUUAUUGCAAGCAUAAUACUCGAUUUUUUCCUCCCUUUAGUUGACUCUGAAUCAACAAGUGAGGAAAUUCAGUCAAAUAAAGCAGCAAACUGGAACGACGACUUCAUCAAGAAAUCAGUGUUUAUGAUAUACGUUGGUGCGAACGAUUACUUGAAUUUCACCAAGAACAACCCUAACGCCGAUGCAUCUGCCCAACAAGCUUUCGUCACUUCCGUGACCAACAAGUUAAAGAACGAUAUCAGUUUGUUGUAUUCAUCAGGAGCGAGUAAGUUCGUGAUCCAAACCCUAGCACCAUUAGGUUGCUUACCCAUAGUAAGACAAGAUUAUAGCACCGGGAUGGAUCAAUGCUACGAACCUCUCAACAAUUUGGCUAAACAACACAACGAAAAAAUCGGACCAAUGUUGAACGAAAUGGCUAGAACCGCUAGUGGUUUCCAAUUCACCGUCUUUGAUUUCUACAAUGUCAUUCUUCGUAGGACGCAAAGAAACCUCAACUACCGUGAGUUGGUUGAUUACAACAACUUCAAUUUAUUUUAAUUUCAAGCGCCGAUACCAUGUGAAUAAGCAUAUACAAAAGCGUUAAAACUUGUUCUUGCUAGGGUUCUUUGUGACGAACUCAUCCUGCUGCGGAGUUGGGACACACGAUGCUUAUGGUUGCGGUUUGCCUAACGUGCACUCGAAGCUAUGCGAGUACCAACGAUCAUACCUGUUCUUCGACGGACGUCACAAUACCGAGAAGGCA
RNAcentral lists this long non-coding RNA (5359 nucleotides) under Eutrema salsugineum. Its description in RNAcentral is "long non-coding RNA (ESAL_LNC000273)". The record is from RNAcentral. Lineage: Eukaryota; Viridiplantae; Streptophyta; Magnoliopsida; Brassicales; Brassicaceae.